UACGUAGGGGGCAAGCGUUAUCCGGAUUUACUGGGUGUAAAGGGAGCGUAGACGGUGAAGCAAGUCUGAAGUGAAAGGCAGGGGCUUAACCCCUGAACUGCUUUGGAAACUGCCAUGCUAGAGUGCUGGAGAGGUAAGUGGAAUUCCUAGUGUAGCGGUGAAAUGCGUAGAUAUUAGGAGGAACACCAGUGGCGAAGGCGGCUUACUGGACUGUAACUGACACUGAGGCUCGAAAGUGUGGGUAUCAAACAGG
RNAcentral lists this ribosomal RNA (253 nucleotides) under uncultured Eubacteriales bacterium. Its description in RNAcentral is "uncultured Clostridiales bacterium partial 16S ribosomal RNA". It matches the Rfam family "Bacterial small subunit ribosomal RNA", at positions 524 to 776 of the family's 1533-position model. Lineage: Bacteria; Bacillati; Bacillota; Clostridia; Eubacteriales. The record is from RNAcentral.